RNAcentral lists this ribosomal RNA (465 nucleotides) under Vreelandella stevensii. RNAcentral describes it as "partial 16S ribosomal RNA". It matches the Rfam family "Bacterial small subunit ribosomal RNA", at positions 338 to 795 of the family's 1533-position model. Lineage: Bacteria; Pseudomonadati; Pseudomonadota; Gammaproteobacteria; Oceanospirillales; Halomonadaceae. The record is from RNAcentral.
CCUACGGGAGGCAGCAGUGGGGAAUAUUGGACAAUGGGGGCAACCCUGAUCCAGCCAUGCCGCGUGUGUGAAGAAGGCCCUCGGGUUGUAAAGCACUUUCAGUGAGGAAGAACGCCUGGUGGUUAAUACCCAUCAGGAAAGACAUCACUCACAGAAGAAGCACCGGCUAACUCCGUGCCAGCAGCCGCGGUAAUACGGAGGGUUCGAGCGUUAAUCGGAAUUACUGGGCGUAAAGCGCGCGUAGGUGGCUUGAUAAGCCGGUUGUGAAAGCCCCGGGCUCAACCUGGGAACGGCAUCCGGAGCUGUCAAGCUAGAGUGCAGGAGAGGAAGGUAGAAUUCCCGGUGUAGCGGUGAAAUGCGUAGAGAUCGGGAGGAAUACCAGUGGCGAAGGCGGCCUUCUGGACUGACACUGACACUGAGGUGUGAAAGCGUGGGUAGCAAACAGGAUUGGAUACCCCGGUAGUC